This is a long non-coding RNA of Alnus glutinosa, 683 nucleotides long. RefSeq lists it as uncharacterized. The transcript has 3 exons. The record is from RefSeq and is a predicted model, not a curated record. NCBI's taxonomy places the organism in Eukaryota, Viridiplantae, Streptophyta, Magnoliopsida, Fagales, Betulaceae.
CCCAAAUCUUUUCCUCCCUCUCUCCAUCUCCUCCCCUCAACCCCAUCGUCGACCACCCACGAGCACGAGCCCGCCACCGGUACGUCCAGCUCCAUCGCCGAUUCUUUGGCCAAAGGAGGAGGAUCCUUAAUUUCAACGAGAAGACGACGUUCUGAUAAGGGUCGAAGCCGCCGCGCUGAACCGAGCCGAUACCUUUCGGCGGAAAGGCUCGCACCCACCUCCUCUUGAGGGUGCGAGCCCCUACCUGGGCAUCGAGUGUUCCGGGACCAUCCUAGCCGUCGAAUAAAGCGUUUCCCGCUGGAAAAUCGACGACCAGUUGUGCUCAUUUAACCACUCUUUGGAGGGAUUCAAUUGUUGUCCUCUGUUUGGAAAUACAAUACGAGGCAAAAAGAGCAAAGACCUUGUCCAAAUUCAAGAAUAUUUUGCAUGGUACAUAGAGAAGCAAAAGAACCACUGCGAACAAUUGAUAGAGCUCUCUAGAGGGUCCAAAAAUUGUAAAAUUGUUUUGGAAUGAACUGUUUUUGAGCUUUUACUCUAGGAAAAAGCCAUUAGAUUCAUGUAUUUUGGAAGAUGUAAAAGCAUGGCUAACUUGCCUUCUACCUUACCUAGGAACUUGCUGUUAUGUGAUGUUUUUGUGCACGAAUUUGGUUUGUUCUAUUUUACAUAUUUAAUUAAUCCAGAAA